GCCUACGGGGGGCCGCAGUGGGGCCUCUUUCACAAUUUUUUAAACCCUGAUGCAGCAACGCCGCGUGAGUGAUGACGGCCUUCGGGUUGUAAAGCUCUGUCUUCAGGGACGAUAAUGACGGUACCUGAGGAGGAAGCCACGGCUAACUACGUGCCAGCAGCCGCGGUAAUACGUAGGUGGCGAGCGUUGUCCGGAUUUACUGGGCGUAAAGGGAGCGUAGGCGGACUUUUAAGUGAGAUGUGAAAUACUCGGGCUCAACUUGAGUGCUGCAUUUCAAACUGGAAGUCUAGAGUGCAGGAGAGGAG
RNAcentral lists this ribosomal RNA (305 nucleotides) under uncultured bacterium. RNAcentral's name for it is "bacterial SSU rRNA". It matches the Rfam family "Bacterial small subunit ribosomal RNA", at positions 337 to 659 of the family's 1533-position model. The record is from RNAcentral.